ACUUGGUUAGUUCCAGCGCCGGUUAAACGGAUGAAGUACUAGGCUGUUCGGAAGGUUACCCCUUCCGGUGGCGCAGCUAACGCAUAAAGUACUCCGCUUGGGAAGUACGCUCGCAAGAGUGAAACUCCAAAGGAAAUGACGGGGAUCCCGCACAAGUAGCGGCACGCAUGUGGUUUAAUUCGAAGCAACGCGAAGAACCUUACCCUAAGCUUGACAUCUUUUGACCGAUGCCUAAUCGCAUCUUUCCCUUUGGGGACAGAAGUGACAGGUGGUGCAUGGUUGUCGUCAGCUCGUGUCGUGAGAUGUUGGGUUAAGUCCCGCAACGAGCGCAACCCUUGCCUUUAGUUGCCAGCAUUAAGUUGGGCACUCUAGAGGGACUGCCAGGGAUAACCUGGAGGAAGGUGGGGAUGACGUCAAAUCAUCAUGCCCCUUAUGCUUAGGGCUACACACGUGCUACAAUGGGUGGUACGGAGGGCAGCCAAGUCGUGAGGCGGAGCUAAUCCCUUAAAGCCAUUCUCAGUUCGGAUUGUAGGCUGAAACUCGCCUACAUGAAGCUGGAGUUACUAGUAAUCGCAGAUCAGAAUGCUGCGGUGAAUGCGUUCCCGGGUCUUGUACACACCGCCCGUCACACCACGGGAGUUGGGGGCGCCCGAAGCCGGAUUGCUAACCUUUUGGAAGCGUCCGUCGAAGGUGAAAUCAAUAAGUGGGGUGAAGUCGUAACAAGGUAACCGUAAAUCGAUUCCGA
RNAcentral lists this ribosomal RNA (745 nucleotides) under uncultured Clostridium sp. RNAcentral describes it as "bacterial SSU rRNA". It matches the Rfam family "Bacterial small subunit ribosomal RNA", at positions 784 to 1533 of the family's 1533-position model. Lineage: Bacteria; Bacillati; Bacillota; Clostridia; Eubacteriales; Clostridiaceae. The record is from RNAcentral.